UACGGAGGGUGCAAGCGUUAUCCGGAUUCACUGGGUUUAAAGGGUGCGUAGGUGGUCUGUUAAGUCAGCGGUGAAAGCCUGGAGCUCAACUCCAGAAUUGCCAUUGAUACUGACGGACUUGAAUCAAGUUGAGGUGGAUGGAAUAUUACAUGUAGCGGUGAAAUGCUUAGAUAUGUAAUAGAACACCAAUUGCGAAGGCAGUUCACUAAGCUUGUAUUGACACUGAGGCACGAAAGCGUGGGGAU
This 245-nucleotide ribosomal RNA is filed under the name uncultured Terrimonas sp. RNAcentral describes it as "partial 16S ribosomal RNA". It matches the Rfam family "Bacterial small subunit ribosomal RNA", at positions 524 to 768 of the family's 1533-position model. Lineage: Bacteria; Pseudomonadati; Bacteroidota; Chitinophagia; Chitinophagales; Chitinophagaceae. The record is from RNAcentral.